GGUUGCUGCUCUCCAUGAGCUGUUCCAACUGUGAAGCAAAAGCUUCAUGCAUAAAGGCAUCCCAACGCAGUCAAUGACGCACAGGAGAAAGAGGACAGAGAUAAGCUUCUUGCCUGUUCCAGACACUGAGGAUCAGGCAGAGAGAGAGGCUCCUGCCAGGCUGAGCUUUUCCGGAGUGUGGAUAUGAACAGCCGUCUUGGGUCCUGAGGUGGAAGCCAUGUGUGGAAGAUGGAGGGCAUCGGUUAGAAGGAGUCUAGUCCCUGAUGGUCACUGAGCUGCAGAACCAGCCUGGGCUGCUUCCUGCUGGAUGUCACUUACUAGAGAGCGAAAUUAAAUGUGCUUCAGCUACUGUUA
Molecule: long non-coding RNA, 354 nt
Filed under: Homo sapiens (human)
Lineage: Eukaryota; Metazoa; Chordata; Mammalia; Primates; Hominidae
Description: non-protein coding LINC02489:5
Source: RNAcentral